CCCGACUGCUAUCAGAGUGAGAUUAAGCCAUGCGAGUUAACGUAGCAAUACGUGGCGCACGGCUCAGUAACACGUAGUCGACAUGCCCAGAGGACGUGGAUAACCUCGGGAAACUGAGUCUAAACCGCGAUAAGUGAGGAUUUCUGGAAUGGUUCCUGACUAAAAUCUAUAUGGCCUCUGGAUUGGACUGCGGCCGAUCAGGCUGUUGGUGAGGUAAUGGCCCACCAAACCUGUAACCGGUACGGGCUCUGAGAGGAGGAGCCCGGAGAUGGGCACUGAGACAAGGGCCCAGGCCCUAUGGGGCGCAGCAGGCGCGAAACCUCUGCAAUAGGCGAAAGCCUGACAGGGUUACUCUGAGUGACUUUCGCUAAGAAAGUCUUUUGGCACCUUUAAAAAGGGUGCAGAAU
This 407-nucleotide ribosomal RNA is filed under the name uncultured crenarchaeote. RNAcentral's name for it is "bacterial SSU rRNA". It matches the Rfam family "Archaeal small subunit ribosomal RNA", at positions 24 to 436 of the family's 1478-position model. Lineage: Archaea; Thermoproteati; Thermoproteota. The record is from RNAcentral.